Small nuclear RNA from Vulpes vulpes (red fox), 97 nucleotides. NCBI's taxonomy places the organism in Eukaryota, Metazoa, Chordata, Mammalia, Carnivora, Canidae. The record is from Ensembl.
GCGCUUGCUUCAGGAGCACAUACACUAAAAUUGGAAUGAUACGGUGUGGUCCCCGCACAAUGAUGACACGCAAAUUUGUGAAGCAUUCCAUAUUUAU